CAGCAGCCGCGGGAAUACGUAGGGUGCGAGCGUUAAUCGGAAUUACUGGGCGUAAAGCGUGCGCAGGCGGUUCGUUAAGACAGAUGUGAAAUCCCCGGGCUUAACCUGGGAACUGCAUUUGUGACUGGCGAGCUAGAGUAUGGCAGAGGGGGGUAGAAUUCCACGUGUAGCAGUGAAAUGCGUAGAGAUGUGGAGGAAUACCGAUGGCGAAGGCAGCCCCCUGGGCCAAUACUGACGCUCAUGCACGAAAGCGUGGGGAGCAAACAGGAUUAGAUACCCCGGUAGUCCCUGUCUCUUAUAA
RNAcentral lists this ribosomal RNA (301 nucleotides) under uncultured bacterium. RNAcentral's name for it is "partial 16S ribosomal RNA". It matches the Rfam family "Bacterial small subunit ribosomal RNA", at positions 509 to 809 of the family's 1533-position model. The record is from RNAcentral.